This 1785-nucleotide long non-coding RNA is filed under the name Sarcophilus harrisii (Tasmanian devil). RNAcentral describes it as "lncRNA (ENSSHAG00000024701.1)". The record is from RNAcentral. Lineage: Eukaryota; Metazoa; Chordata; Mammalia; Dasyuromorphia; Dasyuridae.
UCCCAAGUAUUAGGUGGAGGCGGAAUUAACUUAGUUCGGCUUGGCCCCAAAAGGGCAGGAUGAGGAGCAGUGGGUGGAAGUAUCAGGGACAAAUGAUCUCAGGGCUGUCCAGAGAUAGGAGGAGAAGGGGGCUGCUCUCACCGGAGUUCUUCAGGCCGGUAAAGAGAAGAGCACUGCUCUCAUGCAGGUCUGAACCUUUCAGCCCUGAUGUUUUGUGAACCCCAAGUCUCUUCUCCCUCACCCAGCCACAACCCUAGUUUGGCCCCCAUCCUCUCUCAGGCAGACCAUCAAUUUCUCACCUUGCUCCAGUUUUUGCCUUCUCCAGUUCAUCUUCCACAUCUGUAAAAAGCAUCUCACUCGGGCACAAUUCAGAGCCUGAUACCCCUCUCCUGAAAAACUUUCAGCAAGUGGGUUCUCCCACUCCACCCAAGGGGCAGCACAGGUUUCCGAGUCCCCUGCCUCACCCUCCCCUCUUCUGUUUCUCAUUUACAGAUGAGCUGGGGAAACCCCGAGCAGCUCAUUCCCUCUAAUUUAUUUCCAGGAGUGUUUGGGGACCCAUGAACUCAGGCAGCCAGAGGAUUGAGGAAGGAGCUGGCUGGGAGAGCCAGCAUGACUGUGCCAGGCAAGGCCGGAGGGACGGUGUUCUGGAUCGGUUUCUGUAAACUGCUGUGUCAGCCUGACAUUCAAGGCUCUCCUUUGAAGCUCCCUUUGUCUGCUGGUUCUGGCCCUCAGCCACGCUAUGGAAUCGAUUCCAUUUGUCUCUAUGACACGCUCAUCCUUACCCCAUUCCCCUCACUUCCCUGAGGGAUCCAAACCUUCAAAAUUCAACCUGGGUCCAACCUUCAAACCUCCAAGCACAGCUCGGCCCCCUACUCUAAUGCUGGCAUUUCCUGCCUGGAGAUCCUCUUCCAUCCUCCUUCUCUGCUGGAGGACAGUGAAAUCCAGGGAACUCUUCUCUCUCUCUCUCUCUCUCUCUCUCUCUCUCUCUCUCUCUCUCUCUCUCUCUCUCUCUUUUUUUUCUUUCUCUCUUUCUUUUUUGCUGAGGCACCUGGGGUUAAAUGACUUCCCCAGAGUCACACAGCUAGGAAGUAUUAAGUGUCUGAGGUCAGAUUUGAACUCAGGUCCUCCUGACUUCAGGGCUGGGGCUCUAUCCAUUGCACCCCCUAGCUGCCCUCCAAGGAACUCUCUUAAGAGCACAGUGAAGGGGACAGAGCAUGAGUAAGAAGCCAGAUUUCCUUUCCCUUCUGAAGACUGGCCUUUCCCUGAACCAAGUUCACCAUCCCUCCAGAUCUGAAAAGCUCAGUCAUCACCUCCAGGGCAUCCCUUCUCCCUCCAGAGGCCUUACCACCAUAGGAAACUUUUCCUGGAGUCUUUGAUCAGCCAAGAAGCAUUUAUUGACCACCUACUGUGUGCCAGGCACUGAGGGUACAAAAGACCAAACUAGGAGGGGUACCUGUCCUCACGGAGCUUACACUCUGCUGGGGGAACGGUCAGGUACACACAUAAUACAAAAUAUACACAAAGUCCAUUUGCUUGGUUGUAAAUACAAAUCUCACGAGAACAGAAUUCACUCUGGGAAGUUUGUCCUUACAUGGAGCGAUGGCUUUCCCCUGUGACUGCUCCCACUUGUGCUCUCUGGGGUCAGGCAGAACAGGCUAAUCCUUCCCGUACCUGAUACCCCUCUAGUCUCCAAAACAAGCUGCAGUAUCACAUCCCCUCUGAAUCUUCUCUUUCCGGGCCGACUAUAAUAAGUGCCUCCAACUGAUCCUCCCCCUCCUUCCCCUC